Molecule: ribosomal RNA, 468 nt
Filed under: uncultured bacterium
Lineage: Bacteria
Description: partial 16S ribosomal RNA
Rfam family: Bacterial small subunit ribosomal RNA
Source: RNAcentral
GACGAACGCUGGCGGCGUGCUUAACACAUGCAAGUCGAACGGAAAGGCCCUGCUUUUGUGGGGUGCUCGAGCGGCGAACGGGUGAGUAACACGUGAGUAACCUGCCCUUGACGUUGGGAUAACUUCAGGAAACUGGGGCUAAUACCGGAUAGGAGCUCCUGCUGCAUGGUGGGGGUUGGAAUGUUUCGGCGGUUGGGGAUGGACUCGCGGCUUAUCGGCUUGUUGGUGGGGUAGUGGCUUACCAAGGCUUUGACGGGUAGCCGGCCUGAGAGGGUGACCGGCACCAUUGGGACUAAGAUACGGCCCAGUCGCCAACGGGAGGCAGCAGGGGAGAAUAUUACACAAUGCGCGCAAGCCUGAUGCAGCAACGUCGCGAGCGGAAUGACGCCCUUCGCGUUGUAAACCGCUUUCUCCUUUGACGAAGCGUGUGUGACGGUAAUGAGUAAAGAAGCACCGGCUAACUACGUG